Molecule: ribosomal RNA, 1491 nt
Filed under: uncultured prokaryote
Description: partial 16S ribosomal RNA
Rfam family: Bacterial small subunit ribosomal RNA
Source: RNAcentral
AGAGUUUGAUCCUGGCUCAGGACGAACGCUAGCGGCAGGCUUAACACAUGCAAGUCGAACGGUAACAUGAGAGCUUGCUCUUGAUGACGAGUGGCGCACGGGUGCGUAACGCGUAUACAAUCUACCUUUUACAGAGGGAUAGCCCAGAGAAAUUUGGAUUAAUACCUCAUAGUAUUGUUUUAUGGCAUCAUAAAGCAAUUAAAGAUUUAUGGGUAAAAGAUGAGUAUGCGUUCUAUUAGCUAGUAGGUAAGGUAACGGCUUACCUAGGCAACGAUGUUUAGGGGGUCUGAGAGGAUGAUCCCCCACACUGGUACUGAGAUACGGACCAGACUCCUACGGGAGGCAGCAGUGAGGAAUAUUGGACAAUGGAGGUAACUCUGAUCCAGCCAUGCCGCGUGCAGGAAGACUGCCCUAUGGGUUGUAAACUGCUUUUAUAUAGGAAGAAACAUCCCGACGUGUCGGGAUUUGACGGUACUAUAAGAAUAAGGACCGGCUAACUCCGUGCCAGCAGCCGCGGUAAUACGGAGGGUCCGAGCGUUAUCCGGAAUCAUUGUGUUUAAAGGGUCCGUAGGCGGGAAUCUAAGUCAGUGGUGAAAUCUUACAGCUCAACUGUAGAACUGCCAUUGAUACUGCCAUUCUAGAGUACAGUUGAAGUAGGCGGAAUGUAUCAUGUAGCGGUGAAAUGCAUAGAUAUGAUACAGAACUCCUAUAGCGAAGGCAGCUUACUAAACUGUUAUUGACGCUCAGGCACGAAAGCGUGGGGAGCAAACAGGAUUAGAUACCCUGGUAGUCCACGCCGUAAACGAUGAUCACUCGUUGUUGGCAACACAUCGUCAGCGACUGAGCGAAAGCAUUAAGUGAUCGACCUGGGGGAGUACGAUCGCAAGGGUUGAAACUCAAAGGAAUUGACGGGGGGCCCGCACAAGCCGGAGGAGCAUGUGGUUUAUUAAUUCGAUAAUACGCGAGGAACCUUACCUGUGCUGAGAUGUAGAUUGCAUGAAGGGGAAACCUUUCUUGUCUUCGUAACGAUUUACAAGGUGCUGCGUGGUUGUCGUCAGCUCGUGCCGUGAGGUGUCGGGUUAAGUCCCAUAACGAUCGCAACCCCUACUUCUAGUUGCCAUCAGGUUAUGCUGGGGACUCUAGAGGAACUGCCUACGCAAGUAGUGAGGAAGGUGGGGAUGACGUCAAAUCAGCACGGCCCUUACGUCCAGGGCUACACACGUGCUACAAUGGUCGGUACAGAGGGCAGCAACCCCGUGAGGGGUAGCAAAUCUCCAAAGCCGAUCUCAGUUCGGAUCGAAGUCUGAAACUCGACUUCGUGAAGUUGGAUUCGCUAGUAAUCGUAGAUCAGCAAUGCUACGGUGAAUACGUUCCCGGGCCUUGUACACACCGCCCGUCAAACAAUGGAAGCUUGGGGUACCUGAAGUCCGUAACCGUAAGGAGCGGCCUAGGGUAAAACGAGUGACUGGGGGCUAAGUCGUAACAAGGUAA